AAGCUAUUAGAAUUUUUGCUGUAGAAGAAGAUCCUACUAUAAACAGAGUAUGGAUGCCUAAAAGGGACUGCCCUGGACUGGCUAUGGCAAGAGCCUUUAGAAAUUUUUGCCUAAAAGACUAUGGUGUCGCCUCAGUCCCUAACGUGUCUUAAAGAAAACUUACCAAGGAGGAUAACUGUGUGGUUUUGGCUUCUAAUGGGGUAAGCAUUUUCAUAUCAGGAUGUCAACUUCGAAUUUUGGAUUUUGAUUCUUGAGUAAUGUUGGAGCAAAUAAAGCUCUUUACUCACACUCACACUAUGCACUCACUCACUCUAUGUUAGAGAAUAAGAGAAGAUGAAAGAAUUGAUUGAGAAAAUAGAGGAAACUUAGAAUUCUGAAUUAGAACUUCUGCACACUCUCAUUCUUUCUCAUUCAUGAUCACUAUUAUUUUUAUAUACAUUGCACAUGUAGCUAUAACAACCUUCAUAGCUAUCAAACUAACUAACUCCUAACUAACUGAAUUACAACAUACAUCAACAAGUAAUCAGUUAUAGGAAUAGAACAAUCAUUGUUAGUGUUUAAAUUAUGCUCAAUUCUCGUAUUCCUCUCAAUCCAAAUAUGUUUGCAAAUAUUUGAUCAAAUAGUGUAAGAAAAGAAAUAACCAAGAAGGUUAAAUGAAUUAACAGCAUGUAGUUUCCACACAUACGUGUUUAGUUCAUAUUGAACAAAAAUUAGAUGCAGUUUGUUUUAUAAAUGCUUUCGUUGUUGUCUUUCAAUUAGAAUUGGAGUUUCACCUAAUAAUCCGUGUAAUAAAGGUUUCAAUUAAAAGUCAACAUAGACUACUACCGUGAAAUCCAAUUUUGAUUGAAGAACAAUGUUAAAAGCACCUGUAAAACUGUAUCUAAGUUUUGUCCAAGCAUAUUUGGCACAAAUAAUAGCUUACUUUUAUCAAUUUCCUAAGAGAGCUUUUAAUCAAUAAACAACAACCAAUUAACUUCUCAAAAUUUAUCCCAACCAAAAAGGUCUAAAUUUUCUUUCUUACAGAUUUGGGAUUGUGCUAACAAACCGUGAAGUAAUAAACAUAGUUGCUUCAGCACCAAAAAGGUCCGUGGCAGCCAAAUUGUUAGUAAACCAUGUUGUUCGGGCUUGGAAAUAUAAGUAUGGUUUCAAGGUUGAUGAUUGUUCAUCCAUAUGCUUGUUCUUGAAGAUUAGCCUGCUAUAACCCAAUCCUGAUCCAAAGUUAGUGGGAACAAUAGACAUCCCUUGAAGCACCUGCAUUUUUCAUAAUCUAGACAUGUAAAUACUGAAAUUGUAGAUAUGGCAAUAGUAUGGUGGAAUCAAAAGGAAGAAUGGGAUGCUCUUGGAGGGUUCUCCAGAGCCAACUUUGAAUUAUAAAUUGCAAUCACCUCAGUACCUCAAGGAGGGUUGAAGCUGAUCACUAACUCAGCCAGAAACUCCCCGAAUCCAAGGGCUAGUGCUACUAACAAGUUAACAAUUGUAGGACCUGAAGAUUUUGCUUUUGACACAAUCCCAGAAUAUAGCAAUUAUUUUAGCCUUCUAAUUCUGCCAUGAUCACUGAUAACUGCUAAAUAUGAGUUAUUUUGAUGAUAAAAAUAUAUUGAAAAUAUCUUUAAAAAUAUUUAUUUAGCAGUUAUCUUUGACUUAAAUAUUAAGAUUUGAUAUUUUUCUUAUUUAUGACUUGUAGAUAUGAAAAUGAGAUAUUAAAAGAUAUCAAAAAGGAAAAUUUUUAGCAUCAGGCUCAAGUCCACUACAACAACUAAAGGGAGUCAAGCCAAGAAGAAAAAUAAUACAAUGGAACCCCUCUCCUCUCCUAGGAUUUACUUUCUUUCACCCCUCUUAUCUCAAUGCAAAUGUGUUUUCUAUUCUAUUAUUUUUCUGCUUUUAUCUUGCAUUAUUCAUCUUUAUAUUCUGUUAGAGGCUUCAUGCAUUUUAUUUGUUGAGUCUUUGCAAAGGAAGGUAGAAGAUAGAUAAAUAAAAUAGGUUUGUCAUCAUGAGGGAUCAGGGGCAAGUAAUUGAAUAGAUGUGGGUAGAACAGAGUCACCUAAAUUGAUAAAGAAAAAUCAUAAACUCAUGCAUCUUAGACAAACAAGGCAGGACUCAAUCUUAUCAAAUUUUGAUUUUAUUUUAUUUUUAUCUUUUACUUUUCUUAUCUUAUCUUUUAUCUUCUAUUUUCUUUUAUCUUUAUCAUAUCUUAAUUUAAAUAUUUUAUUUUCUCUAUCUUCUAUUUUUAUCUUUAAAUCUUUUAUCCUUUCUUUUAAAUCUUUAUCUUAUCUCCUAUAUUUUUUUAUCUUUAUUUUAAAUUAUUUAUCCUUUGCUUUUAAAUUAGGUUUGCAUUAAUCUAAGUACAAACAAAGUCCUUGUGGAUUCGACACUCGAACUUUUAAGUAUUUUAUUUUUUGUGACAAUUUGGUAUACUUGCGAACGAGUUAACAAUUACAUGCAAGACUUCUUUUCUAUCUGUCUAAGACCAACAUUGAUCAAUUUUAGCACUCUAUAUUAUGGUACCAUAAAACUUUUCUUUUGUCUGGCUUGGUUCUAAAGAGUUCAAUGAAGAACUAAGCAGCACCUACUUUUCUAUCUAUCUUCAAUUAUUUCCUAUAGUGUGUUGUGUUGACACUAACAUUCAGCAUAAAACAUUACUAGACACUAGAACCAGAGGAUUUUGGAAUUUUACAUACCAAAAAUAUAGUAUUAAUAGAUUGCUGAUAAUUCAGAGGGGUUAUACUAUUGCUGAGCAUUUUGAAGCUUAAGAAUGAAUCUACAAUUGUAAAAAGUGAUCAAUUAACAACCCAGCCUAAGGUUUUUUUUUUUUUUUUUUAAGCCGAAGGAAAUGAAACUUUAUCAACAACUUCCAGAACUUCUGGAAAGAGAUUACAACACCAAAAAAAUGCUAUUUGACCGAAAAGCCUGCCUUAGAAUUAUAAAAAGCAACACCAAAGUUGAAAAAAAAAGUUAUAAUAUAUUGUCCAUUCAUAAUAAAUAUCUAAAUUUUGUAUUUGUUUUUUAUGAAAAAAUUACAUGAAAUUCGUAAUAAAAAAAUAUCAUUUGUUAUUAGCCUUUUCAAAUGGAAAAAACAAUUUAGAUAUUAAUACUUAAACAUAAAAUAUCAUUUGUUAUUAGCCUUUUGGUUAGGUAUCACGUUGGGCCUUAGGCUUUUUAUUGGUCAAGUGAUCAAGGGAAUUACUUCCUACAUUCCAUUUUUUUUCUUGCACCUCACAAAAAUCUAAGCAGGCAAAACUACCCCUCAAACACCACCACCACCACCACCGUAGCCCCACCUCCACCCAACCACCAGCACGCAAACAGCACCACCCAACACCACCAUUGAUGAUUUUGGUGAAAGGAACAAAGUGAAAAUGGAAUCGAAAACCAACGAAGAGGUGUAAAGUGCAACCCCAUUCUAGAUACAUGAAUUUGUAAGACGCUAAUUUUGUAUACACUUCCAGAAUAAUAUUUUUCAUAUUCCAAAAUUUGUAUUUUAGAAUACGUUUCUUGAUUACUUAUUCGUAUUUUGGAAUAUGAAAAUCCUAUUCCAUAAUAGGUAUUUCGCAAUAGGAAUAAGUAAUCCAAAAAGGUAUUCCAAAAUGCUUAUUAUGAAAUAUGAAAAAUCAUAUUUUGGAAUAGGCAUUCCGAAAGUGUAAAAGGCCAAAUUUCUCUUUUUCGCACAAAUGGAAAAUCUCACACCCCAUUCGCAUAUGCCCUACUUUAUCCCUUCAUUUCUCACCACCAAUUCUACAGAUACCUUCUUCUCCUUCUCCUCAUUUCUCAUUCAUUUGUGCAUUGAGAUCCAAGAUAUAGACCAAGGAGCACUGCCAGCUACAAAUCCCAUGAGGGCACAAUGGUGUUCGGAGUGUGAUUGUGUUGAGGCACAAUGGUUAUGGAGGCUUCAUGGCUAGGAUUUUUUGGGAGAGGCAAGGACAGAAGAUGUCUGGUAAGGGGUAUUCUUGUUUUUUGGAUGGUGUAGGAAGAAAAAAAGUGGUGCAAGAAGUGAUUACCACUAAUCAACUAUUAACUUGUGAAAAACCUUUGUACAUGUUUCUGUUGCGUUUAGCAAUUGGUAGCAAUGACUAAUUUGAAGUUAUUUAAAAAUAUUAGAGACUAAAAUAAAAUUUCUAAAACAAACAAUCAAACUAAACCAAAACUAAAACAUAAAAAGGAUAAAAUAUGUAAUUUAGCAACAAGAAAAAUUCACUUGACUACAAAAUCAUUUUUUAUCACACUCAUCCAAACAUGUACAGAUGUACUUAAUUUUUCAAGGAUUCAUAUCCAUUUACAACAGUACAAAACAGUACAUGAUCCAUUGUAAAGGCCCAGCAGCUAGUAAAUUUUAAUUUUCAGUGGUAAGCAAAAAAUUCAACCAAAAAUCGUUCAGAACAAUGCGUUGCCAUUAAGUCUUCUAUUAUGGCGAAANNNNNNNNNNNNNNNNNNNNNNNNNNNNNNNNNNNNNNNNNNNNNNNNNNNNNNNNNNNNNNNNNNNNNNNNNNNNNNNNNNNNNNNNNNNNNNNNNNNNGUACUUGUUAGCAGAUACAAUGAAUGGCAAUUUUUCAUAUAACGAGCUCCUUUUCACAUAUGUCAAUGCUUCCAAUAGUGGUUUGAAUUAAAGGUGUGCUGUACAAUUGUCAUUUGUCACAGCAAACUACUACAAUCAAUGCACAACCUAUGAUGAGAGGACAUUGUGUACUACUCCAAUUGCAAAACAACAAAUACUCCAUUCCAAUGUAUAUGGUACGCAAUUUGAUAUAUUGUGGUACGUGGAAGAUACUACUUAUGAUCAGAGGAUCUAUCGCCAUGACUCAUAUAUUAUGUUUCUUGUCACGGUUGAUGUUGAGUUAAAUGGACCAAGUGGGAGAAUGUUGGAAGCCCACGUUCCACGUUCCAAUUUUUAUUCCCAUUACAUUAUUUUAGAAAAUUUUGUUAUUUCUGAAUCUGGUCCAUUUUCCAUCUACAUUCAACCCAUAUCUUUGCAACAUAUUUGCAACCACCUUCAGUAACAAAUCAUGUACCCAUUCUUUAUCUCACGAACUGAUAACUUCUAUCUCACGUUCUGAUAACAAGUUGAGCUAUACGAUGGACAGACUCUAUAAAUAAGAUGGGGUGCUCUCAGUUUUGUAUCACGAAACUCACUUGUCUAUUCAGAAAAAAUACAUCAUCUAUUCAGAGCGAGUAACUGUCUAGAAGAACAAAACUUCCUUUCAGGUUCGUGUGUGCGCCGCUUCGCGUUCGAUUUGCAAUGACUGGAGGUACGCUCGUAAUAUUUAAUUUCCGCUGUUUGAUCUGAAUAUGCCACUUAAAUUGAUUUGCAUGUUUAGAUCAGUAUAAGUAUAUUUUAAAUAUCCUUGUACUCUUAGUGUUACGUGUUGGUAAGACUAUGAUGGCGACUGGUGUGACGUUGCCGAGUGGAUCUUACUCCCUUUGUUGCAGCUAUCACGGGGGACCAUGGCGAUUGCCACUAUAUCCCUUUGGAUUCCCUCUAAGUUCUUCUCUUCGAAGUUGAUUUCAUUGUCUUUAUGAUGGUUGUUAUCAACGAACAAUGAUAAUGGUUUCUUAGAGGCAUGAAAAGGAUGUUGUUGACGAGUUUCAUCUUUGUUUGAUGUUGGCAAGGGUGUUGGUGUCUGUGGGUAUGUGAUGUCGUUAAGAUUUUCUUAUUGUGACACCUUCUACCCCGACAUAUAUAUAAAUAAAUAAAAUAUAUAAAAAUAUCGAUAAACAAAUUCACGUGGGUGAAAGGUUUACAUUCACUUCACUAUUAUCAAUUAAAACUUAUUAAAAACGUAUUCGGCUCAAAAUAAGGCCGUCAAAAUUUACAAAAAUAUUUUGUUAAAUCAGUGAGGUAAAAUAAAAUAGACUAACAUCAUACAAUUAAUAUAAAAACUUAUGUCUCAAUGUCACAUCCUAUCAGAGUAUUGUGUCCCGACGUCCUUCAGCAAACGAUUCCUUAAAGUAAUUCACCUAGUCAUCUGCUCCCCGAACACAAAGUUCUAGAUCAUCACAAGAUCCAAGCACAAAUAACACAUCGGGAGUGAGUUAUCACAUUCCUAACUAAUAGAGAAGCAAGACAACUAGAUAUACAUAUCAUAUAAACAAAAUAAAACUUACUUAAACAUAACUCACGUAAUUCAACCACUUUUCAUUCAAAAUUCCCUUUUCAAUCAUCAAUCAAAUCACACAAAAAUCACACACUCCGAUCAAGACAUAAUAACACAUAAAUUUCAUAAUAAACAAUUAGCAAACGUAUGCAACAAUUAUGCUAAGACUCAAGCCUAUAUGCAAUGUGGUACCAUGUCAAUGAAAAAUCACCCUGGGGCACUUAGGAGUACAUAACAAGACAAACCACACACUAGCAAGUCAGGUCACUCUCACUAGAUAAGAUCAUAGGGAGACCAAUCAGGGUCACAGUAUUUUGCGAGAAUGCUCCAACCAUAUGGGAUCAACAUAGGCUUAAAGGAGCACUCAAACCGGGUGACCUCCAAGGCCUACACUCCAAAGAGUCCGUCAAGGUCUCUCCCUCCUGAUUCAGGUCCAUCUCAGAAAAUAUUUUAGCACACAGAUUCUAUCUAUGAACUAUACAAAACACACGAAUUCUCAAUUGUUCUCAAAAUAGUUUUAACUCGUUGCCCUUUAAGAGUCUUAGCAUUAACUCGUCUCCCUUAAAAAGUUUUAGCAUUAACUCGUCGCCCUUAAAGGGUUUUAGCAUUAACUCAUCGCUCUAAAAGGGACUUAGCAUUAACUCGUGACCCUUAAAGGGACUUAUAGUCGUGUGAUUGUACUAUUCAUAGUUCAUAACUCAAUGCACACAACAUCUCAAUCACGUGCACACACACACACACACACACACACACACAACAUGUUGAUUAUCCUCGUGGAAAAAUAUAGGAUAAGAUAAUAAUUCAUAUAAAAUAAGUCAUUAAAAAUAAUACUAUUUAGAAUAUAAUUUACGUUAAUAAAAAAAGCUCAAUUUUUUUAGGUUCACACUCAACAAAAGAACACAUUAAUUUCACAACAAUUUCUCAUUGGGACAUCAACCAGUUCAUGAAACAUAUAUAAUUCACAGUUACAAUUAUAAGGAUAAAAUAAAAAUUGCAGAAACACCCUAAAACUCAUUCCAAUUGACACUCUAAGGAUCCCUACACAUGUUCUCACUAAUCCCCAAUUGUGAAUAACUCAUUCAGUACCUCUAAGCGGACUCACGUGUCUUCCGAAAGCAAUAGCGACAUCUCUAGCAAUUUCCUGAGAUUCCUCAAUUUUUUCCUCUGAUUACUCUGAUAGAAUUCCCAAACGUUAGAGAGAAAGACAGGGAUUGAAACCUCCAUUUUGUACCGUCUUCGUGCGAUGCAUCUUUCUCCAUCCAAAGAUAUUAUUUUGCAAAUCCAACUAUGAAGUCGUGCGGAAAUGAAUUUCGAACCACAUAUCAAAAUUGGACGACAAUCCAACGGUUAAUGAAUCCAGGAUCAUAGUUUUACCGAGACAGUUUUGGGCUUCUGCUGGAAAAUAAAAGGCUAAUAUGCGAAGGGUAUUUCUCUCAGUUUAAUCAUGAUUCCGAAAUUCCCAAUGGUGAGAGUGCUCAGAAUUAGGUUGUGAACCUGAUGCUUAAAUUUCACGACAAUCCAAUGAUGAAUGAGCCUGAGAUCAUCAUUUUUGUGAGACAUGUUUGGUGGUCUGUGGAAAAAGAGAGGAUUUUGGGAAGAAGAAAAGAAAAAAACAAAAUUGAGAGGCAGAGAGGAGGCAGAGAAGUCAGUUUGAAGACUGACCUAGCAUGUCGCUAUUUAUACCUAGGGUACUUACAACUUAUUAUUUACUCUAUUUAUUUAUUUAUUAUUUUAUAAAAACAAACUCUAUUUUAUUUCCUAUCAAAUCAACAAAUCAAAUAUAUUUUUUCUUCAAAUAAUUAUUUUAAUACAACUAUUUCUCUUUAUUUAUUUAAUUAAAAAAACCUCAUCAUUUUUUUUUCUAAAACUCUAUUUAUUUUAAAUGAAAAACUUUUUUAAUUUAAUUCACGAAAAAUGAAAUGUUACACCUAUAACAUUCUGACACAUCAAAAGAUGAUUCCGUUGAUGGUUAUUGGCGGGGCAACAACCACAAGGGGAAGAUGAGGAAGAGUAGAAGUAACACUUAUGGUGAUUUUUGAUAGUGCACGAUGGCUAAUGUAGAGAGAAAAUAGAGGAGUAAAUUGAAAAAAAAUAGGAAAAAAACAAAAUAAAAAAGAAAGAAGAAAAAAAUUGUCCAUUAAAUUAAAAAUCAAUGUUUCUAAUGGCUUGAAAUAAGUUUCAAAUAUUGAGAGAGAUGAAGUGAGGUCCCACUCCAACGAUCUUGAAGAAAUUACUCCAUAUAUGUUUGUAUAUAUAAGACUUAAUGAUUGUCUAGGAUGUUUGUUACAUGUGAAAAGUUGAUCAAAGUUUUAAAAAUAAUGUGAGACCCACAUGUUUUUCCUUUUUAUCUCAAAAAGAGAAUAAGAGGCAGGAAAAGAAAUAAUAAAAAGGAUGCAAUACACAAAAUUGUUGGUUGCUAAAAUUGUCCCUCAAGCCCCUCAUUAACCCUCGCUAGAACUUUCAAAUUAGGGUAUCAUGUCACAUAUAAUAAGUUAUUCAAAUGUCAUAGUUGAUUAUGCUUAAUUUGGAAUCAAGUUUGCUUUCUAGUGACUUUUACUCAAGGUAUAAUCAAUUAUAUAUGCAAUUUGUAUAACUGUUUAGGUGACUUUAAUUUGUAAAAAACUAUACAUUUUUAUCUAAUAUAUAUAAUUACAUAAACGUAUUUUUUUGGGGUAAAAUGAGCGUUUAUUUAAUCUCUUUUUCAGUUUUUUUCUUUUAUUAUUGACCUAAACACUUUAAUUUAAACAUUAAAUUUCUUUUACACUUUUUUCAUCUCAAUCAAAUAACUUUAUUUUUCACUCUUUUUUCAUUUUUUUUAAGAGAGUCUCUUCUCAUAUCAAAUAAAUUAUAGUUUAUUUUAAUCAUUUUAUUAAUAUUACCACGCAAAAAAUGUUUUUUGGAAAUGCAUCAAUACCCAAAGAUGUGGAUAAAAAAUGUUAAUAUAAUCAUUCAAUGAAAAUUUCUUUAUUAUCUUAAAAAUAUUUUUCUUUUGAAUAAUAAAUAUAAUUUUCACAAUUAGUUGAGUGUAGUUUGUUUUUCAGAGAUGGUAGAGUGGCCCAGAGAAACUGCAACUCUCAAUGGAUAUGAAUUCAACUUUGAACAAGAUCUAAACAGAACUUCUGAUUUAAUUGACGUGAAAGUGAUCCUUUCUCAAUAGCUGAAUUUUUAAUUGCAAAGCUUUUCAUUGGGCACCAGACUAUAAGAGGCCAACUACAUAGGAUAAUCUGAGAUAUUUCAGUAAGGCAUGCGUCCCAUGUAUAUAUUGGCAGAUAACUGAAAAUGUUGCAUAUCCUUUAAUUUCUAGCCAUUUCAAAUUCUUUGGCAAAACAUAUCUGAGGUUUUGUUUUUUCCAUUAUUAUUGUGUUGUAGGAAAUUGUAGUAUACUGCUCUCUACGAAGGUUAUCCAUUGAUGCAAGGAAUGAUAUAUGUUGAGGUUGGAUUUCCACUUGAAUCCCUGAAUUUUUUUCAAGUUGGGUACGUCAGUAUUUGAAAUGCUCAAAGUUGCCUAUACACUACUGAUAUGCACUUGACACCAGUUCUCUGAAUGGGAUAGAACUAGAAGAAAGGAAUCAUACAUGCAAAGCUUUUGAUGCAAAAGAUCAGAGUGGAGGUUUGGGUCUCAUCAGUGUGGAAGGGUUCCAUAAUCUCGAAGAAAACAUCAAACUUCCAUAAGAAAAGCUUGAGCACCUUUUUGGUACAGGCUUCGUAUGGCAAGUCAUUUUGAAUCCAAACAAAAACUCGGGAAGUUUGAGGGAUGAAUGAUGGCUGAUGAUGGGUAAGGUUUUUGAUCAUUGGCAUUUUAAUGGAACUACUAAAUCAAAGAUAUAUAUGGAAGUCAUAUAAAUUUCAGAGGUGAAACUCCACUACAAUAGCCCAAGUUUAGUUUAUUCAUGACCAUGAUUCUUUUUUCAUAUUAUUCAAAUGUCAUAAUCUUAAAAUUAUAUUUUUUUUCGUGGAUUGUCAGCAUGCACAACUUCUAAACAGCUGGACAUUCCAACAUUGUACAAUUUUUUGGUUUCAAAAGAGUAAGCAUUAAGAAAUGUUUUGAUUUAUGAUUUGGCAAACAUCCAUAGCUUACCACUUUUUCUUAAAACUGUUUAAAAUUAACUACAUUAUUUUGUUUGUUUGCAGGAUGCUGACUGAAUCUCAUACAUAUAGAAUGUGUCCAUCUUGCUUCGAUUGAGAAACAUAAUAAUGUAGGACUUCACCUCACUUAUAUGAUACUCAACCUUUUUACUUCUACCAGAUGUGAGACUUCACCAAAAUGUAGUUCACAAAAUUUUAUAUCAAAAACUUCUGUUACUAUUUUUUUGUGUUGGAUUAUUUGCGUCACCCAAAUGUAGUUCAGUGUUUCAAUCACAUGCUAGAGGUGCUUCACAAUAUAUAUGUGCUUUGAAGCAAAAUAGCAUCAGUAGAUGCAUUGCUAUACAAAUAGUAUUUUGUGUAUAAAGCUGAUCUUGCAGGACUAAGGGUGGAGGAAGUCAUGGCAAGUUCUGAAGAUAGAAGAGUGCUUUGGAUAAGGGAAGAGAAUAGGAUUGAUACAUGCCUUAAGCCAUUGGUAGUUUUGUAGCAGAAAAAUAUAAUAAGCAAGGAAGAAGAGAAACAAUACAAGGUGGAGGAAAUAUAAUAAUUUUUGCUUAAUCAAAUUAUUCUGAGCAGCAAUACAAUAUAAAGGAAAACAAAAAUUAAUCAUUUAUUAAUUUCAGGAAAACUGAAAAUUUUAAGUGACUUGCUCCUAAAUUUUAGUAAUAGCUUUAAUCCAUAACAAAAACAAAUAAAAACAAAAUAUGUAGUUACAAAAAUAAUUUAAAGAAAUUUAACACUCCUCCUUGCUUUAGGAAAUGCAAACUCCAAUACUUUUCCUGAAGAGUUCAAAUUUGUUGAUAGGCAAUAGUUUUGUAAACAUGUCAGUCAAUUGAUCUUCAGACUUAUAGUAAAUUAAGUUCAUUUUUCCACUUUGCUGCAUCUCUAUCAAAAAAUAGAAUUUGAUGUUGAAAUGUUUAGUCUUCCCAUGACACACUGGAUUGCUUGUAAUAGUAAUGGCUGCUUGCACUACUAGAAUUAUGGCAUUCUACAUCGCGCGAUCUACAACGGUUCUGGAGAACCGUUUUAGUAAAAGGCGCGGUGGCAAUUUUGCAAUUAUAGAGAAAAAAAUAAUUUUUCACGUCGUACAUUUUAAGGCGGUUAUAAAUAACCGUCUUAGAAUGUAUGGUAGUGACAAACUUGUAAUUACGUACAACGAAGUCAACGACGGGUUUUGACCUAGGACCGUCGUAGUAUUACGAAUAUAAAAACUAACCUAAACCCGCGGCGCCGCUACUCAGUCAUUCUCGCAGACCAUUCACGUUUCUUCCUCAGUCAUUGUCGAUCUCCGUCAAACUUUUUACCUUGCCCCUUGAAGCUCACCCACAUGGUGUACCUCAAACCCUGAACCUCACCCACAUUGUGUACCUCAAACCUAGCCUGCUGUCUCAAAAAUAUCAGGUUAUACGCCAACUGUAAAGGACAGGGUUAUAACUUCUAAGUGGAUCAAAUUUCUUGUGAAUAGUCAACAUCGUGCAGUCCAUGUCCCAAUUGCCCUAGCNNNNNNNNNNNNNNNNNNNNNNNNNNNNNNNNNNNNNNNNNNNNNNNNNNNNNNNNNNNNNNNNNNNNNNNNNNNNNNNNNNNNNNNNNNNNNNNNNNNNCAACGACGAUUGUUAUUCUUCCCUCCCCUCGUCGCAUGCAACUUAUCUAUCAUAUUUCUCAAAUCUAAAAGGUACUCCAAUUAUUUGUCCUUUUUAUCAAUCAAUAGCAACUACUACAUGUUAUAUAGUUUAUUCUUAAUUUUCGGAGUAACGAUAAUAUUGUUGAUGUUUUAUAUUUUUCACAGGUUGAGUUUUUGUUACGAUGAAAGUGAUGAAGAAGGGGAAAAGACACUCACACAGUGGGGAAAAGAAGAAGAAUAAGAGGUACAGGGAACAAAACCUUGAUGUUGAGAUAAUUGUUGCCACGCAGAACAGUGAAGGUAAACUAUGUUGAUAUUAUGCUUUCAUAUUCAUCGCAUUUUGUUGAGUUGUCCCUGAAAUAAAGUGGUUGUUUUGUUUCAUUGGAUAGUGCCAAUGGAAUGCAGGUUAAAGAGGCAAAAAAGGAGAAAACUUCCAUCAACAAAAAGAGAAAGAGCAAGGACAAGAAUUUAGUUAGGAAAUGAAAACUGAAAGGCCAAGAGGUUGAUUUGGAUGAGCAAAGUGGUGAGUGAUGAUUAUUGGGUGUUGGCUUGUAGAACUGUUCAUUACUUUUCUAAUGCUAUAUUGUAUUAAUUUUGUUUUUGUUGUUAUUGUUUCUCCCUGUUCUGGCAUCUAGUAUACACCUCUUUUAUAAAAUUAAGUAAACUAAUGUUCAUUCUCAACAUCUUUGUUUUUUUAACCAAUGGUGUCAGAUGGAGUAAUGUACAAUCCUCAUUGUAAAGCUGAGGAGAUCCAAGGGUUAGAUGGGCACAGAGAUUCUGAUACUGGAGCAGCUAUCAAACCAUGUAAUAAAAUACAUUUUCUGGUGGAUUUCACUCUUGCAUUUGGAAACUAUACAUUCGUUUUCACAUGAAAUUUGUCCUGCUUUUGUAGGUAGGUCAAAGAAAGACAAGAAGAAAAGAAAGGAGGUUCAAGAUUCACCAGAAAAGGAGGGAGAAGGGUGCAAUCAGGUGGAAGUUUAUAUUAUUUCCUCUGUUGAUGAUGACUGCUCAAAAGGAAUGAAAAGUAUGAAUUGUUUGUUUAACUGUAGUGCAUUGCUUUUUUGUUUGCUUUUAAAACUCCAAACAUUAUUCAUUUAAAACUUUUAUUUAAAUGUAUAGUUUCUAUUUUGUGAGUCUAUUUAAAUGUAUGAUUUUUAUGUUAACUUUCAUCUAUAGAUCUCGCGGCGCCGCUACUCAGCCAUUCUCGCAGACCUUGUGCACUAUGUUGCUUUUUUAGAGUUAAAACUUAGGAAAUCACAGCUAGGACAAUAAUAAGAAAAAAUAUAUAUACUGAUUACUUAAAUAUAUAUACCUUGUUUCAGCUUCAUGAUGGUGAAUGAAUACUGAUUACUUAAAUAAUUAUUUUUAAAUGUUUUUUACACCCCUCAUUCUGGGUUGAAGUAUUAGAUGUUUAUAUAUCACUUCAAGAAGGGUGUUAUCUCCUUUCCUUUUCAUAUUUUACUCCUUUUAUUUUAAUUCUUUUGUUUCUAGGUGUAUCAUGCAUUCAUGCUGUAGUCAAGAACUCAAAAUACAAUACUUGUUGAUGGGGUCAAGGUACACAGUGAUGAUACCAUUGUCAUUAAGGACGGAAGUCAAAUUAUCCCAAGUCCCGAUAGAGAAUGUCAGAUUCUUUUAAUAUUUAUGGCAGUGUAACAAUUCCUAUUAUUAGCAAGAUAUAUGGAAUAGAAAAUUGUAAAAGUGUGUUGUAUGUGUAUCAUUCAAUUGUUACAGUUCCAUAAAGUAGUAUUGCCAUUGUGCUACUGUCAAUCCAUUGAUUUGUUUCAAGCAAAGUUGUAUUGUUUAGUAGCAUGUUAUAUUGUUUUCUUUAAUAAGAUUUAAACUUGGUUUCACAAAAGUGGUAAUAUUAAUUGUUCAGCAUGUUAAAUUACUAAGUUAAUAGAGGGCUUCAGGAUGAAAAACAGGUGAUUGAUUGGUCAUCAUAUUGACUUGGACAGUAAUGUAGGCAUAAACUAUAACAUAUUUGUCCCUGUUUUAAUCCUUACCCAAAUAAUCUUCCUAGCAAGUGAGAAUUACUUGUCUCAAUAGUAUUAUGCUUUCAGAUAGUUAAAUUAUAAUUGGCAGUAUCAAAUUUCAACUUGUGGCAGAUUAACAUGAUUUUUGGGUCUUUUAAUUAUUAGUAAAGAUCUUUAUUUUAGUGUUGGACAAAACAAAAUCUGUAUGCUAAUUAUUUGGUUGUGAUUUGUUUGCAGGUUUGCAAUGCUUUUACUGAUAUGGAAAACCCUUCACCUUGUUAGCGUUUACCUGAUGGCUUCAAAAGGGUUCGGGUUCCUCAUUUAGUUAAUACCAAGGUAAGCUAAAAGAAGCCAUAGUUAUCUAUUUCUCAGUUUAUGUAGUGGUUAGUACUUAGUUAAUACUACUCGAGCUUAUAAUUAUUUUCAGUGAAGAGCGAAGAAGGCAUAGUUAUUCUUGAAGAAGCUCAGUGAGCUGCUCUUCUCUUUCUAUUUAGCAAUGCUAUAUCUAUCUUCCAUAAAAAAUUAUUAUUAUAUAUUGGACUUCAUCUUUUUAAACAAAAUUUAGUUUAAGUUUAUGGAUAAAAAAAUAUAAUUUAAAAAGGAAAGUUUAUUGACCAUAUUUAUAAGUAAUUUUUUUUAAUAUUUUGACGUGUAAGAUUUUAAUAUUUUUCAAAUAUUUUAUUUGGUGGAUUACGUAAUAAAGGAAAGUUUUUUAGUAUUUUAAAAUAUUUUAUUUGAUUGCAUACGUAAUACGUUUGCAUAGUGAGUAUAUACAUAAAUAGUAUACUGGAUUGAUGCUAAUAAUAAAUUAAAAGAGCAUGAUGAGUGCAUAGAACAAAGGGAGUUAGGAAAAAAAAGAAGUCAUUUUUUCCUAAUUAAUUGUUCCUUUCUACGUUUCAUAUGGGACAUCACUUAUAUAAAGUAAUUCGUAUUCUGUCAAAUUAAAGAAAGAAGCUGUAAAGGAAAACUUAAUUAUAGAGUAAAAGUAUAUAGGUGUGUGCCUAUCCCUUCUCUUUUCCAUUUUGGUGAAAUCAUUUUAUUCAUUUUAUUUGAACUGUACAACUGAUCCAGAUUGUUGUGUCAUGUGUGAUUUAUCAUUUAAAAUAGAAACUUGCUUAGAAGUAGGAGUCUUAGUGUAAGUGGUAGCUUAGUACUGGUAUGGAAUGACAGAUUUCACUUCCUUUUAUUAAUAAUCGUAUACAAGUACAUAUGAAGAUUUUAAGAAAAGACUUAAAUAGUUUUUUAGCCCCUAUAAUAUAUACAGGGUUAUUUUCUUUUUGUCCUCUUAAGAUUUUUUUUUCCGGUUUUUGUCCUCUUAAGUUUUUUAGCUACACUGGAUCUAGUUGCUUCUCUGGGCUAAGAUAGGACCAUAGGAUGAUUUGGCUAAUUCAUUAUGAAAUAUUGGUCAAUGCAACUUGGAAUAUGCUUUGCCCUUGGAGCUAGCAACCUGAAAAUCGCAAUUUGUGAUCACGAGAAAGAUGUGUGUUGUCCUUCUUGUUGAUUUUGAAAAGAAAAAAAAAAGAAUGUGGCAACUUAUGCAGAAUUAUAUGACGUGGUGCUUACCUAUGUUAAGUGGGCUCUCGUAAUAAUUUUUCAAAUUUAAGUAUAAAGUUUUGAAUAUUUCCUAAUGAUAAUUUUUAUCCUUGACUAGAAUUACAUAUCAAUCUCUUCUUGCAGCAAAUUGUCUUUUUGCAGACUGUUAUGGGGGAUACCAUUGGAGACCCUCUCAAAGAUACUUCAGGCCCUUCACUCAACAUCCUCAUCAAGCUCAUGGCAGUUGAGUCGCUUGUCUUCGCACCAUUUUUUGCCACUCAUGGUGGUCUGCUUUUCAAGAUCUUUUGAUUUGAGGGAAUGCAACCGUACUUGGUAGAGUUUAAAUUUAUUACAUUUUCGAUUGUUGGCAGAUUUUAAGCUGUGAUAAAAUGAGGUGAAUUUUAAAUUUAUUACAUUUAGCUAGAAGUUUAGAAUCCUGAAGGUAAGUGAUAAGCAUUAUAUUGAAUUGCAUUGUAUAUGUUCAUGUUUCUAUGAAGCUUGCUGGACCUGAAAGGGAGAGGCAACUAUCAGAUACAGAUGUCCAAUCAGCUGUGUGGGAGGUCUGUGGUGAUUCUGGAGCUUUACAAUUGCUUGUUGAUCUUCUUCAUGUGAAGUGAGUGUCAGGAAUUAGGUAACCACAACUGCUGAUAGGAUCAUGUUAAUUAUAAUCUGAAAUGUUAUUUGCCUUAUUCCUAAUCUGUAUACUUGUGAUUACAACUUCUUUUAUAUUCAAUGCACCUUAUACCAGUUAUGAAACCAAAUCAAGUUUAGAAUCUUUAGAUGCAGACCUUAGUUGCCUCAACAAGCUCGACUGGUAUGCCACCUGUUGUUUGAUAUCUUCACCUGUUGUUAUAUAUAUAUAUAUAUAUAUAUAUAUAUAUAUAUAUAUAUAUAUAUAUAUAUAUAUAGCUAGUAGCAGUGUUGCUGUUCUUAAUAUUCCCAGGUUGUGGCAGGAAUAAUGUUCUUAUUAAUAUUCUCAUGCAUGGAUCUGAUUCGGAUCUUCUUUCUUGAUCUGGUUAGUCAAACAAUUUAUAUGUACACUUGCUAAUCAUAAUUUUAUAAUGAGUUUUUUAUGCACCGAUUGUAAUCUUAAGGUAUGAUUAGGAAUAUUUUGUAUCUUUAUCUUUAUAAUAAUAAUAAAAGCAAAUAAGUUUGAGAGGGAAAACUUAUGCAAUUAAAUUGUUCAUUUUUAGAGAUUUUAUUCUUUAUUUGUUAAUUCAUAGAAUUAUAUUAAUAUAGUAAUUAAGGUAAUCAGAAUCAUCUUAUAAUUUGAAAUAAUUUAAUCAAUUGUAAUUAGUAACUUAGGUAUAUGUUUUAGUUAACGUUAUUAAGAUGGUUUUAAACUUUUUAUAUAAAUAUAGUAAUUAAGGUAAUUAAAAUAAGUAUAUUUUCUAAUUUGAAAUAAUUAAAGUCAUUAUUGGUAUAUGUUUUAAUUAAGGUAAUUCAGAUUAUUUUAAAUUUCUUAUUAUAAUAAAAUUAUAGGGACAUUUUAUGCACUUGAGCAAGAAAAUUUUAGAGAAACUUUUUUAUAUUUUUAAUUCAUAGAAUUAUAUAAAUAUAAUAAUUGAGAUAAUUUGAAUAAUUAUAUAUUCUGAUUUGAAAUAAUGAAAUUAAUUAUUAUCCACACAUAUAUAUGUUUUAAUUAAGAUAAUUUAGUUAUAAAAAAAUAUUAUUAUUUCUUUUUAAUUUCUUAAUUAAAUUAUUUUGUUUCUUAAUUAAAUUAAUUAUUAUCCACACACCUCUUAAUUAGUAUUUUAUUUCUUUUUAAAAAAUAUAACUUGCAUUUAAAAUUAAUCACCCCCAUAUAUGAUUUUGUCAAACUCGGGCCAUGUAUAGGCCCAAAACAUAAGCCGUAACUUGUUGGGAGGUUCAUUAUAAAAUGGGAAGAAAGUAGUAUUAGGGUUUUAUAUUACGCAUAGUGUGGUAGCCGCAGCUAAGCUUGUUUCCGUUGCCGCUUCACCCACCGUAGCAACCAUGGUGGAAUCAACUUAUGCUUGCCCUAAUUUGAUUUGUUUUGUGCAGAUCAUUCCCGAGAAGAAUCGUAAAGAGAUCUACAAAUACAUCUUCCAAGGUUCGUUAGUUAACGUUGUUGUCUCUUGUUGUGCUUUACGGUUUUGUUAAAAUUGUAAGGUGUGUUUGUUUGAUUCAGAGGGAGUUUGCUUUGCGAAGAAGGACUUCAAUGUGGCAAAGCACCCAGAGAUUGAUGUGCCGAAUCUGCAGUGACCGUGAGAGGAGAUUCAAAUCCAGAGAGUAGGCCCAUCUCGCUUUGACGGAGAGAGGAGAUUCAACAGUGACCGUGAUGGAUACCGUGGAGAUCCACGCAGACCUCAUUUUUCAGGUAAAUUUUAAAGACUCAUUUUUAUUUAAUGAAUACAGUAUUAUUUAAUUUUCCUUGUUUUUCUAUUGUAAUAGGAAAUAAAAAAGGCAGUGGAAAUGACUAUUUUUAUAUUUAUAAACAAUUCAAUGUUUGAAGUUGAAUGUUUAUUUUUGUAUUUAUAAAUAUUUGUUCUAUGUUUUCUGAGAGAAAAUUCCUUUCAUAAAAUUUGGACAAGUAAAAUUACACUCUUAAUUUUAGUUGUAUAAAUUGUCAGAUAUUUUCUAAUAAACGUAUUAUAUUAACUUAUGUACUAUAUUUUAUCUAUAAGAUUUUCGAUGAAUCAUAUGCGUAAUUUUUCUUCCUAACACCUUGUAUAAAGACUUAGAAGAAUAAAGAAUUUAAUUAUUUAUUCUUUAUAUUUACAUUUAUGUUCUUGAUAAUUUCAAUUUGACAUAUAUAUAAUAGUUGUUUGUUAGACAUCAUUAUCAUUUUUAAUUAUUUCCCAUAUUUUAUAUCAUAAAUCUGUCAAAAUUAGUGUCACAUGUCAAAUCCUUCAUAUUUAUUACCCGUCAAGCUACUUUUUAUCAAAAAAAAGUCCUAUAUAAAAAUGAAUUACAUUUUUUAUUGCCCCGUUCAAAUUCUUACAUUUUAUAUAUAACUCAAUAGUUUAUAACAAUGAUGAAGAGAUGAUUUUUUAAAAUUGAAGAUGGGCUAAAUACCCGAUAGAAUGAUUGAUUACAAACUAAAAGAAAUACUAGCCCAUUCUUCUAAGACGUGUGUUUUUUGGUCCACAUCACCGAAUGAUUACUAUACUAUACAUAGCAUUCAUGCCUCCUUUCAUUUAAUUUUAUGGCCCUCUCUUUCUUUUAUUGCCGAUAAUUGAAAAAGUUUACAUCAUUGUUUUAGAUAUUUGAAAAAAUUAAAAUAAAAAGUUGUAAGAAAAACUUGGGCCUCUCGUUCAGGAUAUUUUGUCACGCAUUUACAGAGCAACCCCUCACCCACUAUCAUUUGAUGAUGUGGUCGUUUCACCAACCCAAAGGGCAAUGAACCAAAACUUGUCUCUAAAUUCACUGCAGUAACAGGAAACUCUUAAUCACUACUAUGACUUUUUAAUUAAAUUUGUGGCAAAUUGGUUAGUGUCCUUGUUAUCCUUGUAAUGAAAUAAGGAGGGAUAUUGUGUAUAAUUUGAAGUAAUCUUAGGGAUGUUAAUGUAAUCUGCCAACUAAUAUCACAUUGACAAACAAUAAGUUUUAUUGUUGAAUUGCCCGUAUUUGGUAAUCAAAUUGUUAUUCAGAAAAAGACUUCAGACUUUUAGACUAUAGUCUUUAUGUAGAAGCUUCUUCCUUUGCUCUCUGGACAACAUUUUGGCCCUCUUAUCAUUUUCGAUCCUCAUACUUAAACUAGGUAUAUUAUUUGCUUCUACCAGUGCAAAAAUCAAAUCAUAUUGAAAAUUUUGGCUAGAGUUGGGCAUGAUGACUUCAAGUUGAGAGAAAAUGUGUUGUUAUUUUUAUCACUUUUUAUUAUUUUGAUAUUUCUCUAAUCUCUAGUUAGGAAAACCCAUAUUCUUUUUUAUCUAUGAAGUAGCAUUGUCCUAAUUUUGAUAAAGAAUUUGUAGAAGUUCUUGUGAUGGCCUACUUUGACAUGUCAAGUUUUCCUUAUAUGUAUAUGUUUUAACUCUGUUUGCAGGGUGGUCCUGGUGGAGGGCCUGAUUUUGGUCGUGGUUCCGAUGGUUAUGGUACACCAAUUAGUCCAAACAUUCCUUCUUAAAUAUAAUGUUAUGUGCUCUAGUUUUUGCAAUUUUGGCUGUCAUUGGAGUUAAUAGUAGUUGUUCCCUUCUCCCAAUAGUUGCUCGAUAUGUCAGACAAUUUACUUAUUCGAUUAUUUAUGCAAUAAAGAUUUUGAUCGAGUGUCUGUUAUAAUAUAUAGGUUGACAAUAUUGUUUCUGUUGGAUGAUUGGUGGUUUAUAAACUGAAAAUUGGUGGGAAAAGCCUUAAUUUUUAUUUCAAAAAGUAACUUAUGUCUAAUGGUUUAUAAAUUGUUGCGAAUAAGAUGGUAAAUUUAACACGUGACAAUAUUCCCAGGGCGAUUAUUUAAUAAUAAAAAAAAACCAAAAUCAAAAAUCCAAAAAAAAACAAAAGAAAAACUAUCUAAGACGGUUAUUUAAUAACUGUCUUAGAAUGAUCGAGAAACUAUGACGGUCAUAAGAAAAACCGUCGUAAAAAAUUAAGUUCAAAAAGGUUAUUUUAAGACGGUUAUUAAGAAGAGCUGACUUAGAAUCUCAAACAUACUAAGACGGUUAUUUAAUAACCGUCUUAGAUUUUUCAUGUUGUGGACUCCAUUUUAAGACGGGUGACAUGAAAACCGUCUUAGAAAGUAAUAGUCACUAAGACGGUUAGCUUUGAGGACCGCCUUUGUAAGAUGAACAUUCUAAGACGGUUAUUAAAUAACCGUCUUAGAAAACAUAAUAAUCUACGACGGUUCAUAAACCGAUGUAAAAAGUGUAGUACCAAUUUACGACGUUGCGUUCUAAGACGGUUCAAAACCGUCUUAGAAGGUCUUCUAGAACCGACUUAGAAAACACAAUUUGUAGUAGUGUUGGUUGUCAACAAAAAUUUCAGUUUUGUUUUUGUGUAUCAUAGACAUCUCCUCCUCCAUUCCAAUUUUCCAUUUUGGAUCUUUUAGUGCUUCCUCACAACUAAAAGGUUCAUAAAUUGCUAUAUUACAUCUUUGAUAGAUGUCGAACAGUGACCUUUUUCCUCUGAUUGGAAGGUCAUCUCUUAAUUCAUUAUGCAUAAGCUCUGUUGUUUGCUCUCUGGGAUGAUUGUUUCCACUGUUGAGGAAAAACCCACCUGUUUGUGAGUUGUUCCAAUCCCAUUUCUUACCUUCAUUGAAGUGCACGUCUCUUGUGACUGUCAUCUUUUUAGUUUGAGGAUGAUAGACUUUGUAGGCUUUUGAAAUUGAACUGUAGCCCAAAAAGAUGCCCAAAAUUGCUUUCUUGUCAAGUUUGUCACGCUUAACUUGUGGAACAUAAGCAAAAAAAACACAACCAAACACUUUAAGAAAGGUUAGUGAAGGCUUAAACCCAUACCAAGCCUCAAAUGGAGUUUUAUCAUUCAAAGCCUUGGUUGGAAGCUGAUUUUGCAUGAAAAUAGCCAUAUUAGCCGCCUCUGCCCAAAAUGUUUCAGGUAGCUCCAUCUCAUGCAACAUGGACCUAGCCAUCUUCAUCACAGUUCUAUUUCUCCUUUCACUAACUCUAUUUUGCUCUGGAGUGUAUGGAGCUGUGAGUUUAUGUUCAAUGCCAGCUUCUUCAUAGAAUUGAUUAAACUUUGAUGAAGUAUACUCAUUCCCAUUGUCUGAUCUUAGAAAUUGAAUCUUGCAGCCACUUUGGUUUUCUACCAUGUUCUUGAACUUCAUAAAUACUCCAGCCACUUCAUGCUUGAAUUUUAAGAAAAAANNNNNNNNNNNNNNNNNNNNNNNNNNNNNNNNNNNNNNNNNNNNNNNNNNNNNNNNNNNNNNNNNNNNNNNNNNNNNNNNNNNNNNNNNNNNNNNNNNNNNNNNNNNNNNNNNNNNNNNNNNNNNNNNNNNNNNNNNNNNNNNNNNNNNNNNNNNNNNNNNNNNNNNNNNNNNNNNNNNNNNNNNNNNNNNNNNNNNNNNNNNNNNNNNNNNNNNNNNNNNNNNNNNNNNNNNNNNNNNNNNNNNNNNNNNNNNNNNNNNNNNNNNNNNNNNNNNNNNNNNNNNNNNNNNNNNNNNNNNNNNNNNNNNNNNNNNNNNNNNNNNNNNNNNNNNNNNNNNNNNNNNNNNNNNNNNNNNNNNNNNNNNNNNNNNNNNNNNNNNNNNNNNNNNNNNNNNNNNNNNNNNNNNNNNNNNNNNNNNNNNNNNNNNNNNNNNNNNNNNNNNNNNNNNNNNNNNNNNNNNNNNNNNNNNNNNNNNNNNNNNNNNNNNNNNNNNNNNNNNNNNNNNNNNNNNNNNNNNNNNNNNNNNNNNNNNNNNNNNNNNNNNNNNNNNNNNNNNNNNNNNNNNNNNNNNNNNNNNNNNNNNNNNNNNNNNNNNNNNNNNNNNNNNNNNNNNNNNNNNNNNNNNNNNNNNNNNNNNNNNNNNNNNNNNNNNNNNNNNNNNNNNNNNNNNNNNNNNNNNNNNNNNNNNNNNNNNNNNNNNNNNNNNNNNNNNNNNNNNNNNNNNNNNNNNNNNNNNNNNNNNNNNNNNNNNNNNNNNNNNNNNNNNNNNNNNNNNNNNNNNNNNNNNNNNNNNNNNNNNNNNNNNNNNNNNNNNNNNNNNNNNNNNNNNNNNNNNNNNNNNNNNNNNNNNNNNNNNNNNNNNNNNNNNNNNNNNNNNNNNNNNNNNNNNNNNNNNNNNNNNNNNNNNNNNNNNNNNNNNNNNNNNNNNNNNNNNNNNNNNNNNNNNNNNNNNNNNNNNNNNNNNNNNNNNNNNNNNNNNNNNNNNNNNNNNNNNNNNNNNNNNNNNNNNNNNNNNNNNNNNNNNNNNNNNNNNNNNNNNNNNNNNNNNNNNNNNNNNNNNNNNNNNNNNNNNNNNNNNNNNNNNNNNNNNNNNNNNNNNNNNNNNNNNNNNNNNNNNNNNNNNNNNNNNNNNNAACAAAGUAGAGACUACCUUUCAGUGAUGGUGUUCUUUGAGGUCAUGCAACAUCAGUAUGAAUUAGUUGCAACUUUUGAGAGGCUCUCCAAGAUGAUUUUGAGAAUAACUUUCUGAUUUGUUUACCAAAUUGACAAGCAUUACGAUUUGGUAAAUUAUCAAAACAUUAUGGUAAGCCUUUUGCCAAGUCCCUUUUUUUCAUAUCUAGCAUUCUUUCAAGAUGGCAAUGACCCAGUCUUUUGUGCCAGAGUUCUAUGGGAUUGACUUUAGUGUAAUAGGUUGCAUGCACCUCCUCUGUUGGAUCAAAUGAGAAGCUUUUACCUCUCAUUUUAACCCUUAGAACUUCCCGGCCAGCACUGUCAUAAAUAAGGCAGUGUUGAUGUUCAAAGGACAAUUUAAAUCCAUUUUCACUCAAUUGACCUACACUUAGCAAAUUUUGAUCAAUGUCAGGUACAUAAAGAACAUCUGAUAUUAUUUUGGUACCUGAACAUGUUGAAAUUGCAAUGGUUCCUUUUGUAGAAAUAUAAUCACCAUUCCUAAUUAUGACCUUUGAGACAUUAGUUGGCUUCAAAUCCUUGAAUAAAGUCUUAUCAUUUGUCAUGUGGUUCAUACUACCGCUAUCAAUCAACCAACAUUCAAAACUACUCCUCAUCGAAUAACACGUUGCAACAAAAAUAUAAUCUUCUUCAUCUUGCUCCACAACUUGGGCAUUGGCUUCAGCUUGUUGAAAUUUGUUGUUACAAAUUACAGCUUCAUGUCCAAGUUGAUUGCACCUAGUGCACUUUGCAUCUGGUCUUCUCCAACACUUGAAUGGUGGGUGACCCAUUUUUCCGCAAUGCUGACAAGGUGAGUAAUUUUUCUUUUUACCCUUACCUUUGUUUUGGUUGUUUGCACUAUUUUCGCUGCUUGCUGGCUAGUUCUUCUUGACAUAUUUCUUUCUCCUUGUGAAUUCUGAUCUGGUUUAUAGUAGGAUCAUCUGAGAUCAUAACUUUCCCUGGUAAAGACAAGAAUGAUGGCUUGGAAAAAACUUAUGUCAGAAUCCAUCAGAAAUUAAAAUGCAUAGGUUCCUUAAGAAGAGGCUCUUGAUAUCAAUUGUUGGGGAGAUUCGAGGGAAACACCUAUGGACCAUGAGUCACCACAUAAGGAAGUCUGUCACCACACUCUAACCCAAAACCUUAAGAUUCAGGUUUAUGGGUAUUCUCCUCAAUUAUAUGGUGCUCAACUUUUCCACUUUUACCCAAUGUGAGACUUCACCUCACACUUGUACUCCAACACAUCUCCCCUUCAAGUGUGAGUCUCUUCCACAUGGUAGCCUUCCUCUGGAGCUCACGAGUAUAGCCAUUCUGACCACCUGCAGUACUUGCACUACCGCUACAUCUGCGGGGUACCCUGCGCCGCCAUCUUACUCCUCUGAGCCGGUCACGAGUAUAGCCAUUCUGGCCACCUAUGGUACUUACACCGCCACUGCAUGCUGCGCCGUGCCAUCUUACUUAUUUGAGUCGGUCACCAAGUCGAACCUUCAUCUCUGAUAUCAAUUGUUAGUUUUGUAGCAAAAAAAUAUAAUAAGCAAGGAAAAAGAGAAACAAUACAAGGUGGAGGAAAUAUAAUAAUUUUUGCUUAAUCAAAUUAUUCUGAGGAGCAAUACAAUAUAUAGGAAAACAAAUAUUAACCACUUAUUAAUUUCAGGAAAAUUGAAAAUUAAAAGUGACUUGCUCCUAAAGUUUAGGAAUAACUUUAAUCCAUAACUGAAAUGAAUAAAAAUAAAAUAUGUAGUUACAAAAGUAAUUUAAAGAAAUUUAACAAUAUGACUUGGCCUCAUCGGAUAGGUAAUAUCUAUAAACUUUCACCAAAACAUUAAAGCUUCUUAUUCUAUGAGGGUAAUGCCAAAUAUUCGUGAACCAAAUUAGCAAUCACACCUUAUAUGAUUUGAAAAAACAAAAAAAAAAAAUUACAGUUCCAGUCUAGUAUCUCUAUGAAAAUUGUCAAAAUAUAACUUUAACAAGGAAUAAAAAAAAAGAAAGGACAAAUAAGAUAAUGUUUGUUUUCUUCUUAAUCUUAAUAUUUUAUUUUUCUCCUCCUAUUCUUUACCUCAAUUUUGUAAGCUAUGUAAAACCUGUAUGAUUUAGAACACUAUAAAAACAAUGACAAAGGAAUAGGAAAUAGAGGGUCAUACGUAGCAGAUUAUGGUUUGUCUAAGAAGGGAAGUCCUGAUAUCAGUCAUCAUCUAUAAACUAUAAUGCAUCAAGCUUAUCAUUAACAAUUUGGUUCUUUUUAGAUAAAUUUCUUUAAAAACACUUACAGAAGAAAAAAAAAACAAAAUGCAUUAAGGUUUUUUACUUUUUAUAAAUUAAAGCCAACUUGCACACCUAAGAACAGUAAGAAGUAAUACAAAACAGAUAUAAUACAACUUUUAUUUAACCAGACUUCAAUCUAAACCAUUGAAUUUUUAAUCAAUAUAUCUACGAUGAAUUUUGAUGGUAGGUACUUCCCCCAGAUUCCACGAUCAAAAAGCAUCCAACCAAGAACAUUGUCUUCAAAAGAGGACAAGACACCUACUACCACUACACUUUUUAAAGUAGCCAGACUUCAAUCUAAACCAUUGAAUUUUUAAUUAAUAUAUUUAACGGUUAAUUUUGAUGGUAGGUACUAACGCAAAGCGAGUUAAAAGUGAAGAGAGUUGACUAGAAUCAAAUCUCAUCACACCAGUUAAGCUUGUCGAAAACCAACCCAGUUUAUUGCAACCAAUUCCUUUCCUUUGUUCUUGACAUCAUGGCUGAGGCAGUUGGUGGUGCAUUCCUCUCGGCUUUCCUUGAUGUUGUGUUCGACAAGCUGUCUACAGAUGAGGUUGUUGACUUCAUCCGUGGAAAGAAGCUUGACCUCAAUUUGCUUGAGAACUUGAAGAGCACUCUGAGAGUGGUUGGAGCUGUGCUUGAUGAUGCUGAGAAGAAACAAAUCAAACUCUCCAGUGUCAACCAGUGGCUCAUUGAGGUCAAAGAUGCUCUCUAUGAGGCCGAUGACUUGCUGGAUGAAAUUUCUACCAAAUCUGCAACUCAAAAGAAGGUAAGUAAAGUGCUUUCUCGCUUUACUGAUAGGAAAAUGGCCAGUAAGUUGGAAAAAAUAGUUGACAAAUUAGACACAGUUUUAGGAGGCAUGAAGGGUCUUCCUUUGCAAGUGAUGGCAGGGGAGAUGAGCGAGUCAUGGAAUACUCAGCCAACAACAUCUCUGGAAGAUGGAUAUGGUAUGUAUGGUAGGGAUACAGACAAGGAGGGCAUAAUGAAGAUGUUGUUGUCAGAUGAUAGCAGUGAUGGUGUACUAGUGUCUGUGAUCGCUAUUGUAGGCAUGGGUGGGGUUGGAAAAACCACUUUAGCCCGAUCUGUGUUCAACAAUGAGAAUUUGAAGCAGAUGUUUGAUUUAAAUGCAUGGGUUUGUGUUUCUGAUCAAUUUGAUAUUGUUAAGGUCACAAAAACUAUGAUAGAGCAAAUCACGCAAGAGUCAUGUAAAUUGAAUGAUCUAAACUUGCUUCAACUUGAAUUGAUGGACAAACUGAAAGUUAAAAAAUUCUUAAUUGUCUUGGAUGAUGUAUGGAUCGAGGAUUAUGAGAAUUGGAGUAAUCUUACAAAACCAUUUCUACAUGGAAAAAGGGGAAGUAAAAUUCUCUUGACAACCCGCAAUGCAAAUGUAGUGAAUGUAGUCCCUUAUCAUAUUGUUCAAGUUUAUUCUCUAAGUAAAUUGUCAGAUGAAGAUUGUUGGCUAGUGUUUGCAAACCAUGCAUUUCCCCCCUCAGAAUCAAGUGGGGAUGCUAGAAGAGCUUUAGAAGAAAUUGGAAGGGAGAUUGUUAAAAAGUGUAAUGGAUUGCCUUUAGCAGCACGGUCACUUGGAGGUAUGUUGAGAAGAAAGCAUGCUAUUAGGGAUUGGAAUAAUAUACUUGAAAGUGACAUUUGGGAACUUCCUGAAAGUCAGUGUAAAAUUAUUCCAGCCUUGAGAAUUAGUUAUCAAUAUCUCCCUCCACAUUUAAAACGAUGCUUUGUUUAUUGUUCAUUAUACCCUAAAGAUUUUGAAUUUCAAAAGAAUGACUUGAUCUUGUUGUGGAUGGCUGAAGAUCUUUUGAAGCUUCCAAACAGAGGAAAGGCGUUAGAAGUUGGUUACGAGUAUUUUGAUGAUUUAGUUUCUAGAUCAUUUUUUCAACGUUCAAGUAAUCAAACUUGGGGCAAUUAUUUUGUAAUGCAUGACCUCGUGCAUGAUCUAGCAUUAUACCUUGGUGGAGAAUUCUAUUUCAGAUCAGAAGAACUUGGAAAAGAAACCAAGAUUGGUAUAAAGACUCGUCAUUUGUCAGUUACAAAGUUCAGUGAUCCAAUCUCAGAUAUUGAAGUUUUUGACAGACUACAAUUUUUGAGAACUUUAUUGGCAAUUGAUUUUAAAGAUUCUUCAUUCAACAAGGAAAAGGCACCAGGUAUUGUAGCAUCGAAGCUUAAGUGCUUGAGAGUUUUAUCAUUUUGUGGCUUUGCAAGUCUGGAUGUUUUGCCUGAUUCAAUAGGUAAAUUGAUCCAUUUGCGUUAUUUAAAUCUCUCUUUUACAAGAAUAAGAACACUGCCGGAGUCAUUGUGUAAUUUGUACAAUCUACAAACUCUGGUGUUGUCUCAUUGCGAAAUGUUGACCAGGUUGCCUACUGACAUGCAAAAUCUUGUAAACUUGUGUCAUCUUCAUAUUUAUGGUACUCGUAUAGAAGAGAUGCCUAGAGGAAUGGGAAUGUUAAGUCAUUUGCAGCAAUUGGAUUUCUUUAUUGUGGGCAACCAUAAAGAGAACGGAAUCAAAGAACUGGGGACACUUUCAAAUCUUCAUGGUUCGCUUUCUAUUAGGAAUUUGGAGAAUGUAACCAGAAGCAAUGAAGCAUUGGAGGCUAGGAUGAUGGAUAAGAAGAACAUAAAUCAUUUAUCGUUGAAAUGGUCUAAUGGCACCGACUUCCAAACUGAAUUAGAUGUACUGUGCAAAUUAAAACCUCACCCAGACCUGGAAUCUCUAACAAUAUGGGGUUAUAAUGGAACCAUAUUUCCAGAUUGGGUGGGAAAUUUUUCCUACCACAACUUGACAAGUCUAAGAUUACAUGAUUGUAAUAACUGUUGUGUGCUUCCUUCGCUUGGGCAACUACCAUCUCUUAAGCAGCUCUAUAUUUCAAUAUUGAAGUCAGUGAAGACUGUUGAUGCAGGGUUUUACAAAAAUGAAGAUUGUCCUUCUGUGACUCCCUUUUCUUCCCUUGAAACGCUAUACAUUAAUAACAUGUGUUGCUGGGAGUUGUGGAGUACCCCUGAGUCAGACGCCUUUCCUCUACUCAAGUCUCUUACAAUAGAGGAUUGCCCCAAACUAAGGGGAGAUUUGCCAAAUCACCUUCCUGCUCUAGAAACACUCAAUAUUACAAGAUGCCAGCUUCUUGUCUCUUCCCUGCCAAGGGCUCCCAUCCUUAAGGGCUUAGAGAUAUGUAAAAGCAAUAAUGUAUCGUUGCAUGUGUUUCCUCUUUUGUUGGAAAGGAUAAAAGUAGAAGGAAGCCCAAUGGUGGAGUCCAUGAUCGAGGCCAUCUUCAGCAUUGAUCCAACUUGCCUCCAACAUUUAACAUUGAGUGAUUGUUCGUCAGCCAUAUCUUUUCCGUGUGGUCGUCUACCUGCAUCUCUGAAGGAUCUGCAUAUCAGCAAUCUUAAAAAUCUGGAAUUCCCGACCCAACACAAACACGAUUUACUGGAAUCACUGUCACUAUACAAUAGUUGUGAUUCUCUCACGUCUCUUCCAUUGGUUACCUUUCCAAAUCUCAAAAGUCUCGAAAUCCAUGACUGUGAACAUCUGGAAUCUCUUUUGGUUUCAGGGGCAGAGUCAUUCAAGAGUCUGUGUUCUUUGAGAAUUUGCCGAUGCCCCAACUUUGUAUCAUUCUGGAGAGAAGGAUUGCCUGCGCCCAAUUUGACUCGAAUUGAAGUUUUCAAUUGCGACAAGUUGAAGUCAUUACCUGACAAAAUGAGUAGUCUUCUCCCAAAGUUAGAAUAUCUUCACAUAAAAGACUGCCCAGAAAUUGAGUCGUUUCCAGAAGGGGGUAUGCCACCUAACCUGAGAACAGUUUCGAUUCACAAUUGUGAGAAACUACUGAGCGGCCUAGCAUGGCCAUCCAUGGGCAUGCUUACCCAUCUCCAUGUUCAGGGUCCAUGUGAUGGCAUCAAGUCCUUCCCUAAGGAGGGUUUGCUGCCUCCCUCCCUUACGUCUCUGUAUCUACAUAAGUUGUCAAAUCUGGAGAUGUUGGACUGCACGGGGCUUCUCCAUCUCACAUCCCUGCAAGAAUUAACCAUAAUCGGAUGUCCUUUGCUGGAGAAUAUGCUGGGAGAAAGGCUUCCUGUCUCUCUAAUAAAAUUAACCAUAGAGAGAUGUCCUUUGCUGGAAAAACAAUGCCGCAGGAAGCACCCUCAAAUAUCCCACAUCCGUCACAUUAAAGUUGACAAUAGAUGGAUUUAGUGACCAAGGAUGAGCACCGGGUAAUUCUCCUUCUUUGACCUACUUCAUCGUCUUCUAAGUCUAACCAAACAAAACUAUUUCAGUCAAGGAUAUCUUUCUUUUCAUGUCUUUUUAUUCUCACAGUUAAUUUAUUCAUUUCAUUCAACAAGCGUUAUUACCCUGAAGAAAUGUUAUCAAUCAAUGCCAUUGUAUUUGAACUUUCUCAAUAUAUCGGCAAUCAUGGUGGUUGUUUCAUCUUGUUACAUUCUCUGUCAGUGUUCAAAGUGUAAUUGGGUGUACUUUGUUUUUCAGAGAUGAUAGAUUGUCCUGUAGAAACUGCACCUGUAAUUGGAUAUGAAUUCAACUUUGACGUGACACCAGAAAGCUCAUAUUUAUGCGUGUAAAGCUGAUCUUCCAGGGCAAAAGGAGGAGGAAGCGAGGGCGCAGUCAGCUGAUGGCAAAGUGUUUAAGAUUGUUCCAUGGCACCAUCUGGAGCAUAGCACCAGCAACUCCCUGAGCAUACAGGCCUUAAGCCAUGACUUGACUGGUUUAGAUAGGUAAUAAUUACUGAAUUCAAGACACUAAAUUCUAUGAGGGUUCAUAUAAAAUUGACAAGGGUUUAGAUCUUGCUAGUAAUACCAAGGAUUCGUGAACCAACUUAACAAUCACACCAUGGAUGAUUUGAAAUAACAAUAUAAAUUGCAGUUCCUGUCUAACAUCUCUAGGAAAUUUUCCAGAACAUAAGUUCAACAAGGAAAACAAAGAAGAUAGAAAAAAUAAGACAAUGUUGUUUUCUUCUUAAUCUUAUAUUUUAUUGUUCCUCCCAUGCCUUGCAUCAAUUUUGUAACCUAUGUGAAACUUGGAUCAUUUAAAACACAAUAAUUACAAUGAACAAGGAAUAGAAACUAGAGGGUCUUGGGUAGGAGAUUGUGGUCUAUCUGAGAAGCAAAGUCCUGAUUUCAGUCUUUAACUAGAAUUCAUCAAGCUUAUCAUUCUCUAAGCUGAUUUAUUAGGCAAUUGUCUUUGUUCUUUCUCAUUCUUGUUUCUUAUUUUCCUCUAAAUUGGGCUCAGAGCUUUGUUCUUACUCAUUGUUUCUUAUUUUCCUUCAGAUCAUAUUUUCUAAAGUUGUUCAUGUCAUUGCAUGCAAUGUUUGCUUUCACCCAAAGGGGUGGCUUUGAUCAAAUUGACAAGGAUGAUUCCAACCUACCUCUGGAUACAGCUCCUAUUAAGCAUGUCACGCAGGUAUGCUGUCACAUAAUUGAAAAUUGUUAUCAUGGCUCUAACUACUUGUUAUAAAUUCUCUGUCACUACAAGUUUUCAUCCGAGUUGGGUUAUUAUCUUUUUUAUCUUUCAUCUUUUGUGAAUUUUCGUUUUUAGUUUCAUGAUUUUUUUGUCUUUUUUUAGUCCCAAAAAAAAUAUUGUUUUAUUUUUUGUUCUCAAUAUAUGUAGAAUUUUUUAGGGACUAAAAAUGAAACAAAAAAAUUGAGGGACUAUAAACGAAAAAAAAAAUUAUGGACUAAGACCCAUCAAAAGAUUAAGAAGGACUAAAAACAAUCGCAAAAGACGAAGCAAGUUAAAUAAAUCCUAUUGAUACUAUUUUACUAAUAUUGUGUUACAGGAAACUAUAAAUUUACAAUUUAUAUUAUAAUACAAAAAUAUUUAUCUUUAUUUAUAUUCUUUUGAAAAUAUUCAAAUUCAAUUUAAAAAUAAGUAUGAAAAUGAAAAAUUAAACAGAGAUAAAAGUUUUAUAAAAAAAUUUAAAAUAUCUUGUUGAAAAAAAACUAAAAAUACUUUAGUUGAAGAAUAUCUCUUAAAAAAAUAUUUUCCGAUACAGGAAACUCAUUUCAUUUCAGAUAAAACUAUAAAAUUUACUAUAAAAGAAGGCAACUAAUGUGUUUAUCCGUUACUCACAACACAACUAAAAUAUAGCUGUGGACUUAAGUUUUUCGAUUCGAAUCAUCCAAUUUUUCUCAUAAUCGCAGUCUUCUUCCUUGCAUGCAUGCAAUUUUUCCUUCCCUUGUUUUCUCUAGGACAAAAGUUAUCACAGUGCAUACGUGACAAUCUACCCUCAAAACUCUCCGCAUCAAUCAAACAGUCACAAGAAAAGGCCAUGAAACAUAUGAUGCUAAUGCCACAAAAUGGUGGCAGUCGUGGUGAUAUCCAUGUUGAGGAUAACCAAAACAUGUCCUUUCCGUCGUGGGAGGGAACCUUUAUGAGGUGCUUCAGUGAAAUAGAUGAAAAGCUUGCUAAGAACAUUGACACUGAUGGAUUUCGUGGCGGUAGCACUUCUGUAUCUGUAAUCAAACAGGUAUAACUAGACCUUCNNNNNNNNNNNNNNNNNNNNNNNNNNNNNNNNNNNNNNNNNNNNNNNNNNNNNNNNNNNNNNNNNNNNNNNNNNNNNNNNNNNNNNNNNNNNNNNNNNNNUUUCUUUUUUUUGUGAAUACUUUUGCAACAAUGUUAUAACCACAUCUUUUUCCCCCUUUAAAUUUCAGGGUGACCAAGUAAUAAUUGGCAAUGUGAGGGAUUCUCGUGCAGUUCUUUGCAGAAGAGCACCUGACAAUCGCCUUAUUCCUGUUCAACUUACUAUUGACUUGACUCCAGAUAUUCCAAGUAUGUUUUGGUAUUACCUAUUCUUAGUUUCCAAAUCUUACAACCCUUUUGAGUUUAUUUGGUUAAAUUGUCUAAUUAAGCCAUAUUCAUUAAGAACUUAUUAGAUGAGAGCUUCUUUCAGGACUUGUUUGGGUAAGUUUAUCCAAAACCACUUAUGCACAUACUAGUUUGUAAAAGCUCUCUCAUCUUUUAGAGAAACUAUACAAGAGAGUUUCUACAAUUUAGCUUAUGGAGAAACUCAUUUCAUUUCUUUUUCUUAUUUUAUUUCUCCUAAAAGUGCUUCCAGAUAAGUUUAUCCAAACAGACCCUAAAAGCUUGAUUGUAUAACUUAGUAAAUAAGCUAACCAAACUUAUUUUGAUAACCUUCUUUUUGAAAUUUAAUUGAAAUAAGCUAAAAAUAUUCUACUGAAUGGCCAUAUGCUACUUCUACAAGUCCAAAUAAGUUUUAUGAAAUUCUUCCUAAUGUCCCUUGGUCUGUGUCUAACUAGCUUUUCUUCCUCAAUGUUACUCAGGAGAAGCUAUGAGAAUUUUUGCUGUAGAAGAAGAUCCUACUGUAAACAGAGUAUGGAUGCCUAAAAGGGACUGCCUGGACUGGCUAUGGCAAGAGCCUUUAGAAAUUUUUGCCUAAAAGACUAUGGUGUCGCCUCAGUCCCUGAUGUGUCUUAAAGAAAACUUACCAAGGAGGAUAAGUGUGUGGUUUUGGCUUCUGAUGGGGUAAGCAUUUUCAUAUC
RNAcentral lists this long non-coding RNA (32006 nucleotides) under Glycine max (soybean). Its description in RNAcentral is "long non-coding RNA (GMAX_LNC000524)". The record is from RNAcentral. Lineage: Eukaryota; Viridiplantae; Streptophyta; Magnoliopsida; Fabales; Fabaceae.